RNAcentral lists this ribosomal RNA (230 nucleotides) under uncultured bacterium. Its description in RNAcentral is "partial 16S ribosomal RNA". It matches the Rfam family "Bacterial small subunit ribosomal RNA", at positions 563 to 791 of the family's 1533-position model. The record is from RNAcentral.
GUAAGCGUGCGCAGGCGGUAUAUAAGACAGAUGUGAAAUCCCCGGGCUCAACCUGGGAACUGCAUUUGUGACUGUAUAGCUGGAGUGCGGCAGAGGGGGAUGGAAUUCCGCGUGUAGCAGUGAAAUGCGUAGAUAUGCGGAGGAACACCGAUGGCGAAGGCAAUCCCCUGGGCCUGCACUGACGCUCAUGCACGAAAGCGUGGGGAGCAAACAGGAUUAGAUACCCUAGU